GAUCUAGCCAUGGGCAGGUUGAAGGUUGGGUAACACUAACUGGAGGACCGAACCGACUAAUGUUGAAAAAUUAGCGGAUGACCUGUGGCUGGGGGUGAAAGGCCAAUCAAACCGGGAGAUAGCUGGUUCUCCCCGAAAGCUAUUUAGGUAGCGCCUCGUGAAUUCAUCUCCGGGGGUAGAGCACUGUUUCGGCUAGGGGGCCAUCCCGGCUUACCAACCCGAUGCAAACUGCGAAUACCGGAGAAUGUUAUCACGGGAGACACACGGCGGGUGCUAACGUCCGUCGUGAAGAGGGAAACAACCCAGACCGCCAGCUAAGGUCCCAAAGUCAUGGUUAAGUGGGAAACGAUGUGGGAAGGCCCAGACAGCCAGGAUGUUGGCUUAGAAGCAGCCAUCAUUUAAAGAAAGCGUAAUAGCUCACUGGUCGAGUCGGCCUGCGCGGAAGAUGUAACGGGGCUAAACCAUGCACCGAAGCUGCGGCAGCGAACGUAUCACUUAAAGCGAUUCAGCGGGUUACGAUUGACGGAGCGAAGCGACGUCAAAGCGUAUACAAAGUCGAGUCGGUUUAAGGAUACGUUCGUUGGGUAGGGGAGCGUUCUGUAAGCCUGUGAAGGUGGCCUGUGAGGG
This 627-nucleotide ribosomal RNA is filed under the name Salmonella enterica subsp. enterica serovar Millesi. RNAcentral describes it as "partial 23S ribosomal RNA". It matches the Rfam family "Bacterial large subunit ribosomal RNA", at positions 727 to 1269 of the family's 2925-position model. The record is from RNAcentral. Lineage: Bacteria; Pseudomonadati; Pseudomonadota; Gammaproteobacteria; Enterobacterales; Enterobacteriaceae.